UGUUUAUUCUCGAACACAGAAUGUGCUUUCUGUGGAAAGCAGUGCGUAUCUUGAGAAGAACAGAAUAAUCAGUAAUACAUCUGUAUUUGGGUUAUGAUUUCGACCAUUGCACAUUCCAAGGGUAUAAAAAAAAAGUUUUCCAAGUGUUAUUUUAAUAUCAACACUUUAUUUUAAUGUAACUGCUUCAAAGGCAGCUCUUUUACUUUUCCUGGGAUAAAUUACCUGUUACAUAUCCAGCCAGGCAAGCAAAUAACAUAAAAUUAAUGAGAACGUAUAGUUGAAUCAAAGGAGUCUUCUAUAUGCACAUAAAAUAAUAUUGUUUCUGUGAUAUAUACAUGAAGGGGAGGUCACUAGCCUGAGUGGGCAGACUUGAAUUGUUGAUAAUGACUUGCAGUAAAAUACAGUGAUGGAGUCACUACUGUUCCUUUAAAAGGGACAAGAGAAAUUAAUGAAAGAUUUCAUUAUUACUUUCCCUGUUUUCCAUCCCCAAAUCCUCCAUCACAUAAAACAGAUGUGAGUUAUUGAUGUUCUCCAUCACUUAUGUCUAAAUAGCUUACCUCCUCUUUCAUCUUUUCUGCCUUCCACUCCAUCCUCCAAGAAAUUCACUUGUCUCUGCCUUGUUCCAUUUUUGCAAUCUUUGCAUUAUCCUUUGUUGUCUAUUUGUAAUAUUGCCCCAGUUUACUGACAGGUCUCCAAGAGAAGGCUUUGAGGCUCCAUUAUGAUGUACUUGAGGUUUAUUGAUCGUGGCUGCAGUGUGGUGGUAUCCACCAGCAUUUGCUGAGGUCACGAACAUCCCCGGGAUUUUACACUGGGAUCGCAGCAACAGAAGCCAUAGAUUAUGUUGGAAGUGAGAUUUUCAUUGCUGCUGAAAAUUUCUGCUUGGAAUCUGCAUAUCUCUUUCCUGCUUGCUGCUUUAAUAUUAACACCCUCUUCCUUUAUCCCAUUCCCUCAUUUCCUACCUCUGCAUGCAUGUGUGCACAGAACUCUUAAUGGACUUGUAUCCUCUCUGUUGCUUUUACCCCACUAUAUAUAUAUUUUUUUUACUCAAUCUAUCUUUUCUUCUGCCUGACUUCUCACAGGUAUAAGUUGUUCCCCUACCAGCAUUGACAGUGAUAGAUUAAGAAUGGAAUGACUUAUCUGCACCUUGUAAUCCAAACAGAAUCACAGUCUGCUGUUAGCAGUCCACAGGGGUUGCUGCUGAAUAAAUUGGAAUGCUGGUAGCUGUGCUCGCUGAAGCUUCUCUCAUCUUGAAUACGUGAGAAAGAGGGGAAGAGGAACCCUGUGGAUUUAAACAAAAAAGAAAACAAAACACCAACAACAGAGGAUGAUGCCCUUACCCUAGAGAAGUAUUUAUGAGGUUAAAUCCUGUAUUUAGCAGCUAAGGAGGAAUAGUGCACUCUUUUCAUUCACACAUUCAAUUUUUCCCUCAAAUGAAACAAGGUUAUUUUGAUGGGAGGUGCCCCUUCUCUCAGGUGGGCAGGAAAAGUUUCCCUGACUGCCACAAGGCCCUGAAAUUGGAAGUCACGUUCCCUUAGGCAGCGGUCACAAACCAGCAGUCAAACUGCACGUGUGUCUCGUGUGGCUCGCAUUUCAUCCGGCUGCAGAAGGCAGAAUGGUGGAACUGCUUCUCCAGCAGGAGAGGCAAGGAAUUUCAGACACCAGCUUCUACUCUAUUACCACAGGGAAGAAAAUUAUGGAACAUGUACUGUUUAGGGCAAAGAAGAUGUAAGACAGCAAUUAAGAAAUUUAAGGAAACAACUGAAGAUUUAGAGAAGAUUUGGAAGAAAUUUGUGGGGGAAAAAUAAGAGUCUAAGAGAAACAUUGAAGAUCCAGCAGUGAAAGGAAAGUAGUAGCUUGAUGGUAAUUGAUAAAACAGUAAUUUUAUCUCUGGGCAGACAUUUACUUAUAUUACACUUGUAUUUGAAUUUUUCUUUUCUUCAGCGAUGGAUGCAUAUUGAGAUUUGAAAUUUUAAUUUAAAAUGCAGUGGGGGGAAAAAAGUGUUUUUAAAUAGGGUUUUGAGAAUUCUGAGUAUGAGAUCUCAGAAUACAGGAUCUGAGUAUACCAGUUGAGUAAACUGACCAAAUGCAGGUUUAGAAUAUCUUAUACUGUCAGCAUGAAAAGUAAAUAUGGUAUUUUGGAGGUCUCUCUACCUACUGUAGCUUUUUCAGUUUGAAAGUAAAGGGUGUUUUUUUUUUCACCUUCUUAAUUAUUCUAUUGUUGAAAAUUUUCAGGCCAGAUUAGGCACUUAGUGUUGCUUGUUCCAGAGUGAUUGAGGCAACAACAUGAAGAAAGACUGAAGCAGGGAUCAUUGGGGUAUUCAGACUUUUAUGCUGGUGAAAUAUCGCAACUGAUGUUGCUGUAACUUGAUUUAUUUCACGUAAUCUUCUAUAAUAAUUUUUUAGACUCAUUAGUGGCUUUAUUUAUUUUUUUUAACUUUUCUUUUCCCUGGAUAAAAUCUCAGCUUUCAUGCCAUCCCGUGAAGCAUUAAAAUACCAACCCUGCCAGCUUCAGAGAACAGAAAGAGACUAUAAAGGGCUUUGUUUAUACAGUGGCUUUUAUGUCGCUGCUCGGAUUCCCUGGAUCUUCAUUCUCUCUGCUGCAGUAGCGGGGUGCCCGAUGCCUUUUUGGUAGCCCUGUGCGCUCCUGUAAUGAGGCUCUAUUGCCACGCGAGGUCAGCAGCUGCCGAGAAAAAGCAGGAAAUAACUCACUCCACCGCAAUCCGUUUUCAUUUGCUUUAUUUAGAAUACUUAAAAAUCAAUACAUCCUUCAGAACCGUAUAUACAGUGUGCAAAACCAAAGGAUUUCUUUUGAACGCUCAGCAUCUUCAGCAAAGAGUCUUCCUUGCGAGUUACUACAGAGGGAGGAUCUAGAAUGGCUUUAGGGAACAUUUAUUGGCUUCCCGAGUAGCAUGAGAUAAUUGCUGUGGCAGAGGAUGGUAUUCUGUACAGUGUGAUGAUGACAGGGUUUCAGCCUUAUCUUUUUGUCUCUACUAAAUUGGUGAUACUAAAUCAAAAAUGAAUAAGGUGUUAUUGCUGCAGGAAAUAAUUUGGAAUACAGAAAUGGAAAAUACCCUUCCUUUUUACUGCAGUAAUAAUCACUGUUCUGUCAAGAUAAGGGGGAGAUGUCACCUGAGAGGAUUUCCCCCCUGCUUUAGUCUUUGCUUUGAAAGCAAAACACCCCCCACUAACACAGGUGAAAAGCUUGGUGCCAAAGUUUCUGAACAGCAUUUGAGAAUAAGUAUUGAGUUCUGUUAUAGGCUUACUAUUGGCUAAUCAUUUCCUUAGCAUAAGUCUCAUUUCCCACAUAUAACUCCAAAGAAGAUAUUCACUUCUCUGGUAAAGUUUUAGAAUAAAUUCUUUUGGAUGGGAUUUUCUGAUUUACUGUUUAAACAGUGGGAUUACCAACUGCAGUGUCACACCUGAAUCUUAGUGUUCCUUUUCCUGAAAUUCAUAUUGUUAUUUCUGUGAGUAUGCCCUUCUUCCU
This is a long non-coding RNA of Oenanthe melanoleuca, 3484 nucleotides long. RefSeq lists it as uncharacterized. The transcript has 3 exons. The record is from RefSeq and is a predicted model, not a curated record. Lineage: Eukaryota; Metazoa; Chordata; Aves; Passeriformes; Muscicapidae.